Molecule: unclassified non-coding RNA, 215 nt
Filed under: uncultured Agaricomycetes
Lineage: Eukaryota; Fungi; Basidiomycota; Agaricomycetes
Description: sequence contains ITS1
Source: RNAcentral
UUGAAUUCACUUGGUUAGGUUGCUGCUGGCUUUUGGAAGCAUGUGCACACCUACACCAAUUUCAACCACCUGUGCACAUUGUGUAGAUCUUGGAUGCUUGAGGAAUAGAUAUUUAUUUAUCUGUUCUCGCGUUCAAAGUCUUACAUUUUAUAAUAUCACUCCAAAAGAAUGUAUUAGAAUGUUUUUAAUAGGCCUUUUUGUGUCAAAAUUAUAAA